Molecule: ribosomal RNA, 277 nt
Filed under: uncultured bacterium
Lineage: Bacteria
Description: partial 16S ribosomal RNA
Rfam family: Bacterial small subunit ribosomal RNA
Source: RNAcentral
GAUAAACGCUGGCGGCGUGCCUAACACAUGCAAGUCGAACGCACUCUGGCAACAGAGUGAGUGGCGGACGGGUGAGUACCACGUGGGUACCUACUCUGAGGUGAGGAAUACCACCGAGAAAUCGGUGACAAGACCGCAUACGCUCUGCACAAGAGCAAAGUCGCUUUUCGGAGUGACGCCCCAGAAUGGGCCUGCGCCUGAUUAGCUGGUUGGUGGGGUAAGAGCCUACCAAGGCGACGAUCAGUAGCUGGUCUGAGAGGAUGAUCAGCCACACUGG